UGAUGCAGCCAUGCCGCGUGUAUGAAGAAGGCCUUACGGGUUGUAAAGUACUUUCAGCAGUGAGGAAGGUGGAUAUGUUAAUAGCAUAUUCAUUUGACGUUAGCUGCAGAAGAAGCACCGGCUAACUCCGUGCCAGCAGCCGCGGUAAUACGGAGGGUGCGAGCGUUAAUCGGAAUUACUGGGCGUAAAGCGCAUGCAGGUGGUUUGUUAAGUCAGAUGUGAAAGCCCGGGGCUCAACCUCGGAAUUGCAUUUGAAACUGGCAAACUAGAGUACUGUAGAGGGGGUAGAAUUUCAGGUGUAGCGGUGAAAUGCGUAGAGAUCUGAAGGAAUACCGGUGGCGAAGGCGGCCCCCUGGACAGAUACUGACACUCAGAUGCGAAAGCGUGGGGAGCAAACAGGAUUAGAUACCCCUGGUAG
Molecule: ribosomal RNA, 418 nt
Filed under: uncultured bacterium
Lineage: Bacteria
Description: bacterial SSU rRNA
Rfam family: Bacterial small subunit ribosomal RNA
Source: RNAcentral